RNAcentral lists this ribosomal RNA (255 nucleotides) under uncultured bacterium. Its description in RNAcentral is "partial 16S ribosomal RNA". It matches the Rfam family "Bacterial small subunit ribosomal RNA", at positions 78 to 334 of the family's 1533-position model. The record is from RNAcentral.
UCUUUCUUUGCUGGCGGCCGGCGCACGGGUGAGUAACACGUAUCCAACCUGCCCUUUACUCGGGGAUAGCCUUUCGAAAGAAAGAUUAAUACCCGAUAGUAUAAUGAUUCCGCAUGGUUUCAUUAUUAAAGGAUUCCGGUAAAGGAUGGGGAUGCGUUCCAUUAGGUUGUUGGUGAGGUAACGGCUCACCAAGCCUUCGAUGGAUAGGGGUUCUGAGAGGAAGGUCCCCCACAUUGGAACUGAGACACGGUCCAA